CGCAGCUGUGUCAAAUUCAGUGCCUGCCCCCACCAUGCCAGGCACUGGCCGAAAAGGCUGCCAUAGAAACACUGUGACUCAUGGGCUCUGAGCCUCUCUCUCUGGGCCUCAGGGAUACAUCUGGUUACAGACACCA
Molecule: small nucleolar RNA, 136 nt
Organism: Manis pentadactyla (Chinese pangolin)
Lineage: Eukaryota; Metazoa; Chordata; Mammalia; Pholidota; Manidae
Product: small nucleolar RNA SNORA5
Exons: 1
Source: RefSeq, a predicted model, not a curated record